GCAAACUUGGUCAUUUAGAGGAAGUAAAAGUCGUAACAAGGUAACCGUAGGUGAACCUGCGGUUGGAUCAUUAUUGAUUAAAAAUUUGACCUAAGGUUGAGCUCUAACGAGUUCCCUUAGUGUCAUAAACACCUGUUGCACAUUUUGUAUUUGGGGUUUUUUCUAAAAUUUGGGUUCCAACGAAUCUUGAAUGGUUGAAAUUACCCCAACAUUGAUAUAAACCUUUAUUCUUUAUUGACUAAAAUAUCUAUGUAAAUAGAAACAACUUUUGACAACGGAUCUCUUGGCUCUCGCAUCGAUGAAGAACGCAGC
RNAcentral lists this unclassified non-coding RNA (312 nucleotides) under uncultured fungus. Its description in RNAcentral is "partial contains small subunit ribosomal RNA, internal transcribed spacer 1, and 5.8S ribosomal RNA". The stretch from base 1 to 73 matches the Rfam family "Eukaryotic small subunit ribosomal RNA", at positions 1759 to 1831 of the family's 1831-position model. The record is from RNAcentral. Lineage: Eukaryota; Fungi.